AGACGAUGAUCUGGAUAAUAUUGUUGAAAACUUUCAAAGGAGAUUUUGGAAGUGUCAAAAUUUAGGGUUAAUGUCUGGUUGUAAGUUAUUCUUUCGGGACGAUGAGCUUGAACAAAAUUCAGCUAGUAAUAUUAGAAGUUUAAGUGGGUGCAACUGCUCGUAUUCAUUGUUAAGUAGAUUGAGAUUGACAAAAAGACAAAGAUGA
Molecule: non-coding RNA, 205 nt
Organism: Vicia faba (fava bean)
Lineage: Eukaryota; Viridiplantae; Streptophyta; Magnoliopsida; Fabales; Fabaceae
Source: the annotation of a GenBank genome assembly